This is a non-coding RNA of Notechis scutatus (mainland tiger snake), 119 nucleotides long. NCBI's taxonomy places the organism in Eukaryota, Metazoa, Chordata, Lepidosauria, Squamata, Elapidae. The record is from RefSeq and is a predicted model, not a curated record.
CAUCCGUGGGAUGCAGGGAGCAUGCAAAUCCACGUCCUCUCCGGUCCACGGAAAAACACCUCUCCACGGAACCGGUCCCUGGGGCCCAAAAGGUUGGGGGCCGCUUGUAUUGUCCCUUC